AGCUCAUAAGUAUUUAGUACAUGAUCUCAGUCUUCUUAGUAUCUCAGCUUAGAGGUUUCAUUUGGGGCGAAUGAUCCCAAGGAGGAGAUAUUUUAAUACCUCACAAGAUUCUAGACGAGUUUCCAGCUAUUCGUCUAAUGUUUAGAAGUCCCAAAUCCAUUUAAUUUACACUAUGUACAAGUGACAAGGUCAUUUAAAGACCCC
Molecule: long non-coding RNA, 204 nt
Filed under: Capsicum annuum
Lineage: Eukaryota; Viridiplantae; Streptophyta; Magnoliopsida; Solanales; Solanaceae
Description: long non-coding RNA (CANN_LNC017750)
Source: RNAcentral